GCGNCGUAGCUUAACACAUGCAAGUCGAACGAACCUUCGGGUUAGUGGCGGACGGGUGAGUAACGCGUGAGAAUCUGCCCUCAGGAGGGGGAUAACGGCUGGAAACGGCCGCUAAUACCCCAUAUGCCGAGAGGUGAAAUGAAUUUCGCCUGAGGAUGAGCUCGCGUCUGAUUAGCUAGUUGGUGGGGUAAGAGCCUACCAAGGCAUCGAUCAGUAGCUGGUCUGAGAGGAUGAUCAGCCACACUGGGACUGAGACACGGCCCAGACUCCUACGGGAGGCAGCAGUGGGGAAUUUUCCGCAAUGGGCGAAAGCCUGACGGAGCAACGCCGCGUGAGGGAUGAAGGCCUCUGGGCUGUAAACCUCUUUUAUCAAGGAAGAAGAUCUGACGGUACUUGAUGAAUAAGCCACGGCUAAUUCCGUGCCAGCAGCCGCGGUA
Molecule: ribosomal RNA, 437 nt
Filed under: uncultured bacterium
Lineage: Bacteria
Description: bacterial SSU rRNA
Rfam family: Bacterial small subunit ribosomal RNA
Source: RNAcentral